GACGAACGCUGGCGGCAGGCUUAACACAUCCAAGUCGAGCGCCCCGCAAGGGGGGCGGCAGACGGGUGAGUAACGCUUGGGAAUCUACCCAUCACUACGGAACAACUCCGUGAACCUGGUGCUAACACCGUAUACGUCCUUCGGGAGAAAGACUUAUGGUUGAUGGAGGAGGCCGCGUUGGAUUACCUAGUUGGUGGGGUAAUGGCCCACCAGGGUGACAAUCCAUAGCUGGUCUGAGAGGAUGAUCAGGCACACAUGGGACUGAGACACGGCCCAGACUCCUACGGGAGGCAGCAGUGGGGAAUAUUGGACAAUGGGCGCAAGCCUGAUCCAGCCAUGCCGCGUGAGUGAUGAAGGCCCUAGGGUUGUAAAGCUCUUUCACCGGUGAAGAUAAUGACGGUACCGGAAGAAGAAGCCCCGGCUAACUUCGUGCCAGCCGCCGCCGUAA
This 448-nucleotide ribosomal RNA is filed under the name uncultured bacterium. Its description in RNAcentral is "partial 16S ribosomal RNA". It matches the Rfam family "Bacterial small subunit ribosomal RNA", at positions 28 to 523 of the family's 1533-position model. The record is from RNAcentral.